GGAAUAUUGCACAAUGGACGGAAGUCUGAUGCAGCGACGCCGCGUGGGUGAUGAAGGGUUUCGGCUCGUAAAACCCUUUUCUGUGUGACGAUAGUGACGGUAGCACAGGAAUAAGCGUCGGCUAACUACGUGCCAGCAGCCGCGGUAAAACGUAGGACGCAAGCGUUAUCCGGAAUUACUGGGCGUAAAGGGCGCGCAGGCGGUCUGAUAAGUUAGGCGUGAAAGCUCCCGGCUAAACCGGGAGAGGUCGUCUGAUACUGUUGGACUAGAGUAUGGCAGAGGCGUGUGGAAUUCCGCGUGUAGUGGUGAAAUGCGUAGAUAUGCGGAGGAACACCAGUGGCGAAGGCGGCACGCUGGGCCAAAACUGACGCUGAGGCGCGAAAGCAUGGGUAGCGAACGGGAUUAGAUACCCGGGUAGUCC
This 421-nucleotide ribosomal RNA is filed under the name uncultured bacterium. Its description in RNAcentral is "bacterial SSU rRNA". It matches the Rfam family "Bacterial small subunit ribosomal RNA", at positions 358 to 796 of the family's 1533-position model. The record is from RNAcentral.